CAGCAGCCGCGGGAAUACGUAGGGUGCGAGCGUUAAUCGGAAUUACUGGGCGUAAAGCGUGCGCAGGCGGUUGUGUAAGACAGGUGUGAAAUCCCCGGGCUUAACCUGGGAACUGCGCUUGUGACUGCACAGCUAGAGUAUGGCAGAGGGGGGUGGAAUUCAACGUGUAGCAGUGAAAUGCGUAGAGAUGUGGAGGAACACCGAUGGCGAAGGUAGCCCCCUGGGCCAAUACUGACGCUCAUGCACGAAAGCGUGGGGAGCAAAUGGGAUUAGAUACCCCCGUAGUCCCUGUCUCUUAUAA
RNAcentral lists this ribosomal RNA (301 nucleotides) under uncultured bacterium. Its description in RNAcentral is "partial 16S ribosomal RNA". It matches the Rfam family "Bacterial small subunit ribosomal RNA", at positions 509 to 809 of the family's 1533-position model. The record is from RNAcentral.